ACACUGAAGUGACAAAAUAAGACAUUUGAACUUACUGAGGAAAGGUCAUCUGCAGUCAUAACAUUUAUUUUAUUAAUCAUAAUCUGAAUUAGGGGGCUCAGAAUGGAGCUUUGAGGAACUCCACAUUUGAUUUGUCUGCUCAAAUAUGAAGUUACCUCCUGAUGCUGUGUUCACAUCCAACACGAUUUAUUAACUUCGGGGAAAACCAAAAUGGAUUUCAAUGCCGAAUAAUACAAAAUCAGACAUUUGAACUGAAGUGAUGGAGGCAAUAGUGGAUCAACAACUCCUGUCUGCUGUGAUCACUGAUAAAUCACUGAUUUUCUCUAUGGGGUUUGGUGUGGGAGAGCGAGGGGUUUACAAACUUCAGUGACUUUCACUGAUGUGAAAGUCACUGCAAAGGUAAAAACAUGGCUGCCUGUUGUGCUUGAGCUCUAGACUCACACACACAGUGACAUUUGUAACAAAUGUAAACUCUCUCCCUUUUACAGAAUAAGAGGAGGAAUAUUCUAAUCAGUAUUUUUGCCGUAGGGGUCUUUUGUCAUAAUUGUUGAGGUUGCUUUGUGUGUUUUGUUCUUUCCUUCAGGUUCUGGCUUAAUGAGUAAAUUAUCUAUCAGGAGUGAAUUUUAGUGAAAAUUUGAACAAGCGGGCAAAAUGUAAUCACUUCUGUCUCAGUGUUGGUAAAGAUAAUUUAUAUGUUCUUUCUUUUUAAGGCCACGACAUAACAGCGAUAACUGGGAAGACGUGUAAAAUAAUAAAUUCAUUAACAGAUUCUGAAGCAUAUUUGAAUGCAGCAUUGCGACUCGGCCGCGGGAAACGUGCUGCUCACAGCUAAUGAAGCACACGGAUUUGGAGAAGAUGGAAAGAAAGAAAAGAAAAGGGAUGGAAGUGUGGACAGAUCAAAGGAACGUGAGCGGCCCGGGUCAGCAGAGGAGUGGGCGGAGCCAGCAGGGAUGGAUGCAGGCGAGGUCGGAGAAGAGGCGACGGACAGACAAGGCCCAUUAACUCAGCAAGAGCAGCUGACCAGAGAAAAGGCAUGUUUUAAUUGCUGAUGUGUAAAAAUUUAAUUGAUGUCAAAUUGGUGCAAGGUGAUUGUGUCCAACCCUGGAUUUUACACUGUGGGACAUCUGGAGAAAACAGCAGCACAAUGUCCUCAACUGUCGGAUAAAACACGGAAAAAAAACAAAGACAGAACCAAGAAUUAAUGAAAACAGUUCACAUGGGACUGUUUUAUUUAAGGGAUUUCCCAAUAAUUGCUGCCAUCGGCCGGAAUCUGCUGCGUCUUUCACUUUCACCAAAGUCAUAGAGAAAAUAAGUGAUUUUAGCUCGUGGGGACACAGGAGCUGCUGGUCUAUUGCUGCCUCGUGUGGUCACUUUGUGUCACUGAGGUCAAUCUGAACAAAGGAUUUCAAAUGCAGAAUAAUACAAAAUAAGACAUUUGAAUUUAGUGAUAGAGGCAGCAGUGGAUCAACAACUCCUGUGUGCUGUGAUGUUAAAAUCACUGAUUUUCUCUAUGGGGUUUGGUGUGGGAGAGUGAGUGGUUUCAUAAAGAUAUUGUAGAGUUAGAUAUCGUAGAUUUUAUGAUGCAAGUCUUUUGUUAAUUGGUUAAAAUCAGGGUUUUUUUUUCUUCUGGCAGCCAUGUUUUCCCUGGGAGUGAACAAGGUUGUCUUAACGCUGUUUCAUGUUGCAGGGGAUCAAUAGGGGGCGCUACCAUCUCAAUCAGCUUUGACUAUGUGUCAGUGCCUCAUAUUACAACCACAUUUUUUAUUUAUUUUUUGAUAUAUCUCUUUAAGUCUGAAGCUCAGCUAACAUGUUUGAAGUAAUAAUAAAACAAUGGAAUAUGGUUUUAUGUUACGCUCAUGGGGCACAACAUUGAUUUCUCUGAGCUAUACUUACUCAGCCGCAUCCACAAAGAGAUGAUGUAGUGACAUUUAUACAGUGUACUCAUGAGGCUCACACACAUACACAUGCACACAGUCUGAAUGUGUUUAUUCAGAGCAAUCGCUGGAAGAAAUGUGCUUUUUCUUCUCAAUCUAGAAAUAAACAUGAUGUGAUAAAAAUGAU
Solea solea (common sole) is the source of this 2061-nucleotide long non-coding RNA. RefSeq lists it as uncharacterized. Lineage: Eukaryota; Metazoa; Chordata; Actinopteri; Pleuronectiformes; Soleidae. The record is from RefSeq and is a predicted model, not a curated record. The transcript is spliced from 3 exons.